Molecule: ribosomal RNA, 464 nt
Filed under: uncultured bacterium
Lineage: Bacteria
Description: partial 16S ribosomal RNA
Rfam family: Bacterial small subunit ribosomal RNA
Source: RNAcentral
ACGAACGCUGGCGGCGGGCUUAACACAUGCAAGUCGAACGGAAAGGCCCCUUUGGGGGUACUCGAGUGGCGAACGGGUGAGGAACACGUGAGUAACCUGCCCUUGACUUCGGGAUAACUUCAGGAAACUGGGGCUAAUACCGGAUAGGAAUCCUUGCUGCAUGGUGGGGGUUGGAAAGCUUCGGCGGUUUGGGUUGGACUCGCGGCGUAUCAGCUUGUUGGUGGGGUAGUGGCUUACCAGGGCUUUGACGGGUAGCCGGACUGAGAGGGCUACCGGCCACAUUGGGACUGCGAUCCGGCCCAGACUCCUACGGGAGGCAGCAGUGGGGAAUAUUGCCCAAUGGGAGGAAGCCUGAUGCAGAAACGCCGCGUGCGGGAUGACGGCCUUCGGGUUGUAAACCGCUUUCAGCAGGGGCGAAGCUUGUGGUGACGGUACCUGCAGAAGAAGCACCGGCUAACUACGUG